UUUACUUGGAUUUGUUUGGAUAAGGAGGCAUGAUCACUUUAGCAUUUAAACGUACUCACAUUGACGAAAGCCGCAAGCAAACCAUAAGAGUGAGCGUGAGGCAAAUAGGCGGCUAACGCUUUACGUCGGAUAAGCUAAGGAAAUACCAGAUUUCGCGGGUGAAUGAGCUUGCUGAGCUGGAGAACGCGCUGGUUUUAAUGGGGAAGAGGAAAAAGCAGAGGAAUACCAAAUACCAGAACUGCCAAGCGGUUUUGUCAAGUUUGCUCAUUAACUGCUCAUUGGAGCUAGUAUAUGUAUGUCUUGCUCCAUCUUACGAAAAAUCGUAUAGUCUGAGAAAAAACUGAUCUAAUGAAUGAGCCGAACAAUGCCUUUGACUUAUCGCAUUAUAGUCGCCAAUUUCAUUUUGGUAAUGGAGGCAGGCUUUUUAAAAAGCUGAAUCGGAUACAACAGCUGCAGAUAUAGAUUUUCAAGAAGAUUUAGUAAUAAAAUUAAGCGUUUUUUUACAAACUGUGAAAGUUAUAAAUAUUUUCUUUUCAACCGAGUCCUUAUACACGUGUUGACCUUUUUACCGAAUAUUGGACGUAAAAAAAAUUGAUGCAAAUCAAAAAUGUGAGAAAAUAUUUUUCGCGAAAUACGUCUGGUUUGUAAAA
Molecule: long non-coding RNA, 650 nt
Organism: Drosophila subpulchrella
Lineage: Eukaryota; Metazoa; Arthropoda; Insecta; Diptera; Drosophilidae
Exons: 3
Source: RefSeq, a predicted model, not a curated record